UUGUUAUUUUUACUUUGUUGACGUAUUAUUUUUUUUUGUUUUGUUUUGUUUAUUUUCUUGCUUUUUGCAACCGGGUGACCGCGUUUUCUGCGCUACAGACUGCGCUUUUCUGACUCCUUUGUUUGAUAUCGUGUCGUAUCGUCGUAUUUAUGUAGUUAUUAGGAACGGCAAGCCUACGUUGUUGCGUCCUUUACCUGAAUAUCGUGACCGAAUCGAGUGUCGUCGAUUUGAAUCGUGUCUUGCGAACCAUCGUCGAACAAAAGGUCAUGGCUGGUCGCGGUUCAUCAGCGUUUGUUUUGAAACUGAUGGGUGCCACAAGGCAUGAAAGAGGUGACUUGCAGCAGCAAGACACCGCAAGCCUUCGCAGCAACUGGCUAGCCAGUGCUGCUCUGUUCUGAACUGUACUGCGUGUCAUGUGGAGGGUUUGUGCAAGCUCUCUGGGCGGCGACGCUAGCCACGGAGCUGGCCUCCCUCCCUUCCGUCAGCUGCAAUAUACUACAAGCACUGGGCUACAGCUGCAGCUAGCCCAUGGGUACCGUUCUGCGUCCUGUACUGCAUCUAAUUCGAAAGGCCAUGUGAAAGGCAGGUGUGGUCUUUAUGGGCUCUGUGAGUAUGUGCAUUUUCUGCAGCUUUUUCGGGGCAACUUCAUAUUAAGAUUCAAUACGGACUCGAGUGAGAGGGGGGCAUUCUGAGAAAGCUAGCCUCUUUGUUAAAUCAUUGGGACUGCUAUUAUAUCUAUAGAGUUUAUUUACACCUUACGUUAUGUACUUUUUCAUUUAUUUUUAUUUUACUAGUUACUUAUACUUCAAUCUGACACGACAGCCACCAAAAAUGUUGACAUAUUGGCCUUUUUUUUUUCUGUCAGUUUGUUUGAAGAGCCAAUGUUGGGGGCGGUCAUUCAUGUUAUAUUUCCCACACGCACGUCCAGCCUAUGUUUACGUAAAGCCCAAUUGCCCCUUAGCAACAAAAAUAAUUUAUGCGACAGACUACACGGCAGCAUUGUGGACGAAAACAGGCCAGAUUAUAUCUGCCAUGUUUAAAAACUACAUUCGGCGACAGGUUAUGAAUUCAGUGGCAAGAAUGCACACCGCCUGCCAAUCGCUGCCGUCAGUUGUCCUGACGUCAUGUCUGCUAAGAAACUAGAAUAUAUUUUUUUUAAAUGGCAGGUUUUCGUUGCUGACGCCACGUAGCAUGUCGGCACUCUAAGCACUUAUUCUGCUCUUGGCCUCUCCGGUUUUACCUUGCGAAGUCAUGACGGUGUUUGCUUUUGUUUGCAGUAUUUCCCGUGUGUCGACGUGAGAAGGCAGCGGUUGUAUCGCCAAGGAAGUAGCAAUCAAUCUGCGCGCAUUUGUUCCAGCGGCACAGCGUUUACAAACCGGACUUUGCCCUUCACCGAGGGGAAAGUCUACCGACUCGCCCUACAGUUGGUGAGCAUUGUGCUGCCGUGAGCGCGUAAGUUGUCCGAAUGCUUUCGUCUGUAUACAGUGACAAAAUGACUCGCUGAAAUGCGAAGUACCAUACAGUACCAUGCCGUACAUCAAACCAUCGAUCACUUGCUGCAGCAACUUUGCGUUUUAAGUCGUAAUAAUAAACUGUAUUUUAAGGCUAAAAUCAUUAUUUCAAACUGCUCAAUUAUUCGAAAUUCUGCACGAUCCCCAUCGGGUCUGCAAUAUCGGUCGGUGGCUGUAUAACCUUUAAACACAAUGGUUACACACCACAGGUACCGGGGACCAUGACAUCAAUGAGCUGGCUUUCACCUUGUCCAAGGCAGCAGCGGAACACUACGGGCGGGACCCUGGAUCACUGCACCGUGGAUGCCGUUCUGUACCCUGCACGGCACUGCGUGUGGCUUAAGUGGCCAAGCAGGGGGUCAUUGCAUGACUUUUAUGAGGCGCCGCUAGCCAUUGUUUCAAACCGUCCUGAAUCACGGACCGAGCCUUGCAAGACCUCACUCUUAUGCCCUCUCCUUUCUGGUAGAUCGGGUCUUGCCAUCUUCCCCUCUCGUGGCUCCCUGUCUUAAAUAAAUAGUUUGUUUUUCUGA
RNAcentral lists this long non-coding RNA (2041 nucleotides) under Ixodes scapularis (black-legged tick). RNAcentral's name for it is "uncharacterized LOC115320907, transcript variant X1". Lineage: Eukaryota; Metazoa; Arthropoda; Arachnida; Ixodida; Ixodidae. The record is from RNAcentral.